UUGAGAGAAGGGAGGGUCAGUACAGAUAUCCUCACCAUAGGCAGAGAGAGCAUGGCAGAGUUCCUCGAUCUGCUGGUUCAUCUCCUGGAGCCUUCGAUCCAGGAAAUCCUCUCGACUACGGGUCUCAAGGGUCUUCGGGCAGAAUGGAGGUAGAGAUCUUUCAGGAGUAGAAUCGUGAUCGGACUGAGGGCUCUCCACCCUCGGAUUCAUCUUUCCGGGAAAGACGGGGCGACUGGCCCAAGUGGCCCACCCUACCACCAGAUUUUGGAAUUCC
This 274-nucleotide long non-coding RNA is filed under the name Elaeis guineensis (African oil palm). Its description in RNAcentral is "long non-coding RNA (EGUI_LNC060818)". The record is from RNAcentral. Lineage: Eukaryota; Viridiplantae; Streptophyta; Magnoliopsida; Arecales; Arecaceae.